Long non-coding RNA from Vespula vulgaris, 749 nucleotides. RefSeq lists it as uncharacterized. Lineage: Eukaryota; Metazoa; Arthropoda; Insecta; Hymenoptera; Vespidae. The record is from RefSeq and is a predicted model, not a curated record. The transcript is spliced from 3 exons.
AAUGGGCGGUCCUCGGCUCGUGCGACGACAACAAAAUUAAAUCCUUAAUCAACUUUGACUUCUGCUGGUUCAGUCGUACGUUGUAUUCCGACGAGCGAGGAUCGAAGCUCUCUUAGGAUACCUGUUUGGAAAUAACAACAAAGAGUUAAAGCCAUUAUAUUCUUACAUCACAUAUUUCUUGCGAUGUAUUUUAUUUUAGAUUUAUAUUUGGAAUGGGCGGUCCUCGGCUCGUGCCACAACAACAAAAUUAAAUAUUUAAUCAACUUUGACUUCUACUGGUUCAGUCGUACGUUGUAUUCCGACGAGCGAGGAUCGAAGCUCUCUUAGGAUACCUGUUUGGAAAUAACAACAAAGAGUUAAAGCCAUUAUAUUCUUACAUCACAUAUUUCUUGCGAUGUAUUUUAUUUUAGAUUUAUAUUUGGAAUGGGCGGUCCUCGGCUCGUGCCACAACAACAAAAUUAAAUAUUUAAUCAACUUUGACUUCUACUGGUUCAGUCUUACGUUGUAUUCCGACGAGUACACAUCACAGUUCUCACAAAUUAAAUUGCGAAGUGGGGAUACUCGGCUUCAAGAGACGACAACAAAGCCGGGUCUUUGACCGAAUUUUACAAAUAUUAGUUCAGUUGUGCUUUGGACUUCGACGAGUGAACUUAGAAAUUUUCGCAGGAUGCCACUCGAAUUUCGACUUUCGGAGACUUUGAAAUUCUAUCUCCAUGAGUGGACUUAGAAAUUUUCGUGGAUGCCAUUCG